UUCUAAAAACAUUCCCCUAUCUUUCCACAAAAUCUAACAUUCUCAUAUACAGAGUAUCUAAGAACUGAUAGCACAAUCGAGGAACGGAGGAAUCUACAUGAAAAAAUAUAUCUAAAAUAUUCAAUACAGUUUUUACAUUUGAAUUCGUUGUUGAAGAAACCGACUUCAAAAACCUUAUUGUUACUCGAUCUUCUCGAAAAUGAGGCGUCAUAUGUAAUAAAACAAUUUUAUUCU
Molecule: unclassified non-coding RNA, 234 nt
Filed under: Bombus terrestris (buff-tailed bumblebee)
Lineage: Eukaryota; Metazoa; Arthropoda; Insecta; Hymenoptera; Apidae
Description: misc RNA ENSBTSG00005035177.1
Source: RNAcentral